UAAGGCAACGGGUUUUGGUCCCGCUAUUCGGAGGUUCGAAUCCUUCCGUCCCAG
RNAcentral lists this transfer RNA (54 nucleotides) under Schizopetalon rupestre. RNAcentral describes it as "partial tRNA-Gln". It matches the Rfam family "tRNA", at positions 19 to 71 of the family's 71-position model. From Rfam's summary of the family: Transfer RNA (tRNA) molecules are approximately 80 nucleotides in length. Their secondary structure includes four short double-helical elements and three loops (D, anti-codon, and T loops). The record is from RNAcentral. Lineage: Eukaryota; Viridiplantae; Streptophyta; Magnoliopsida; Brassicales; Brassicaceae. RNAcentral also lists the same sequence under 5 other names.